UACGGAGGGUGCAAGCGUUAUCCGGAUUCACUGGGUUAAAGGGUGCGUAGGUGGGUUGGUAAGUCAGUGGUGAAAUCCCCGAGCUUAACUUGGGAACUGCCAUUGAUACUAUCAGUCUUGAAUACCGUGGAGGUCAGCGGAAUAUGUCAUGGUAGCGGUGAAAUGCUUAGAUAUGACAUAGAACACCAAUUGCGAAGGCAGCUGGCUACACGAAUAUUGACACUCAGGCACGAAAGCGUGGGGAUCAAACAGG
This 253-nucleotide ribosomal RNA is filed under the name uncultured bacterium. Its description in RNAcentral is "partial 16S ribosomal RNA". It matches the Rfam family "Bacterial small subunit ribosomal RNA", at positions 524 to 776 of the family's 1533-position model. The record is from RNAcentral.